Molecule: long non-coding RNA, 2210 nt
Organism: Hipposideros armiger (great roundleaf bat)
Lineage: Eukaryota; Metazoa; Chordata; Mammalia; Chiroptera; Hipposideridae
Exons: 3
Source: RefSeq, a predicted model, not a curated record
UUGGCUCUGUGUGCCUUUUUUACAUUGGGCAUCUCACCGCCGAAACCUCUCUUGCAAUCCCGCCCCCCUUCCCCAGUGAUGACACUUGGCGUAGUCAGCAAGAUGAGGCGAGUGCCCCUUCUGUCCCAGUGGAGGAGCAGCUCCGGGUGGAAGGGAUGUGGCCCCUGACAGCUUUUUGGUACGGCGGUUGUGGUGUACCUCCUCACCUGGACUCCGCUGGAGGAUUGGGAUGCUGUGCGCCCUCGACCAGAGGACGUCCGGAAAGCCCUGGAGACAUUAGAGCCGAAUGCCCUGUUGGCACACCGGGAGGCAGCUGGCCGAGUGGCCUGGAUGUUCCUAGCAGUCUUACGGCAUGCUAGUCGUGACAAUCAAGAGUACACAGGCCUGGUGCAGCAGUUACAAUGUCGGGAAGAGGACCUGGAGCAAUGCCUGGCGGCGGUGUCCUCCGGGGCUAGCAGCCUAGUGGGGUUGGUAUGGCAUGCCCAACCCAUGGUGCGACAGAGAGUAGAGGUCGAAGAGCCCCUAGCCCUAGGGGGUGGGGCUACCAGGCCAAGGCAAUAUACCUGGCACGUCUCUUACACCACGUAUUUGGCCAUGAAGUUGUGACAGCUAGCCAAGCAAUGCAAACAGCGUUUGGGUACUGGACACUCCAGCCAGCAGGGGCUGAGUUACGGGUGGUCCAGAUGGUCCUCACGGAGGAGCCUGGCCCAGUACGUGUUUGCACUGAUAGCUGGGCUGUGUUUUGAGGCCUAAUGCUAUGGCUUGCCCGGUGGGCAACCUAAGACUGGUUAAUUGGCCACCACCCACUAUGGGGAAGAGACCUUUGAGAGGAUGUUUGGAGCAGUGAACGAGACUGGUUACCCACAGGAAACAGCAUGCUAUCCUGGGUGCACACCUUUGCCCGGGUGCACAACGCCUCACGUUGCUGGGUGUGCAUGGAAUUGCCAUCAGAAACCACUGAAAGACUGCCAUGGUGAGUUGCCCCUGCCACCGGUGCCAACUGGACAGACCUCCAGCGUUGGGACCGAGACAGUCCGAAGGGAAAUGCUCGCCAUCGUGCUGUUGAAGCCACCUUAUGGAAACACCACCACAGUGCCCCUCCUCUCUUCAGCCAGCUUGUGGACAAUGCCUGGGGAUGGUUGGUGGGGAUUCAUGUAGAAUUGUCUUACUGUGCCCCUCUGUGUAUUGAGCAAUGAUACCCCGUGGUCCUAAAUCACAUGGUGGGCUGGUUUCCCAAGAAACUGUCUAAACAUUACUGUGGUGACAGACCCUAUCUGCUGGUGGGAUGGGCAACGUGUAGUGGGAACGAAACCCACUGACUUCCUCCCAGGCGAUGCUCUCUGGGUCUGUGGUCUAUAUGGGUGGCCAUACCUACAGGCCCAGUGGAUGGGCUAAUGUACAUGGGGGUGCCCCUUUAUUCAAGGUCAUCUCCUACCCACAUUGCCCCAAAGACCAGCCAACUGGGACCCUGUUUACCAUCGUUGGCACCGAGAAAAAUGGGUUGCCUGUGGAUUUACCCUUUAGCCAUCCUCUUUUCAGGGGGUGGCUUGAUACAUGUGGAACUACAAGUAGAAGCCUUGGCCCAACAUGUCACACAGAUGUUGAACGUCACGCGAGUGUCUUUAGCCAUUUUUCUUGACAAGACAACCCAAAUGAGAAAAGUGGUGAUGCAGAACAGGAUGGCUCUAGACCUGCUAAUGGCCAUGCAGGGGGGGACAUAUGCUCUGUUACAUGUUGAAUGCUGUGUUUCCAUUUCGGACCAUCAACAAAAGGUACAGAAAGCCUUACAGGAGAUGGAUGCCGAAGUCUCAGCAAUCCAAACCCUACAAAAUGAUCCCUUAAAACGUUGAUGGAACUCCCUAGGCCCUUCUUGGAGGUGGGCAGAUCUCAUUCUGGCAGGUAUCGCCAAUAGCCUCAUGGUCAUCUGUUGCUCCAUGUAUUGCUGUUGCUGCCUCUGCUCACAGGGACACACUCUCUUGGUCAAGUCCUGGGACACCAUCCUGCAGGGAGUGGACUGACGGGGCCCGGGCAUGUCCAGGUUUGUACAGGCUGGUGUUUGGGACAUGACCGCGGAGCUUGCUGCGCAGGCACCUUGGCUGCAGUUACAUAAGCCCUUAUGUAACUUAUGUAAGCAUGACUUGCAGUUGCAGGAGGGAGCAUGUGCUAACUGCUUUCCCUGCCCAAAAGCAUCCCUCCCUUAAGGCACUAUA